GAUGAACGCUGGCGGCGUGCCUAAUACAUGCAAGUCGAGCGAACGGACGAGAAGCUUGCUCCUCUGAUGUUAGCGGCGGACGGGUGAGUAACACGUGGAUAACCUACCUAUAAGACUGGGAUAACUUUGGGAAACCGUAGCUAAUACCGGAUAAUAUUUUGAACCGCAUGGUUCAAAAGUGAAAGACGGUCUUGCUGUCACUUAUAGAUGGAUCCGCGCUGCAUUAGCUAGUUGGUAAGGUAACGGCUUACCAAGGCAACGAUGCAUAGCCGACCUGAGAGGGUGAUCGGCCACACUGGAACUGAGACACGGUCCAGACUCCUACGGGAGGCAGCAGUAGGGAAUCUUCCGCAAUGGGCGAAAGCCUGACGGAGCAACGCCGCGUGAGUGAUGAAGGUCUUCGGAUCGUAAAACUCUGUUAUUAGGGAAGAACAUAUGUGUAAGUAACUGUGCACAUCUUGACGGUACCUAAUCAGAAAGCCACGGCUAACUACGUG
RNAcentral lists this ribosomal RNA (497 nucleotides) under uncultured bacterium. RNAcentral's name for it is "partial 16S ribosomal RNA". It matches the Rfam family "Bacterial small subunit ribosomal RNA", at positions 28 to 507 of the family's 1533-position model. The record is from RNAcentral.